AGUUCAUUGGUUUAUAUCAGUUAGCCAUCAGAUACUGAUAUAAGUAAAUGAAUAUGGAUGACUUAAUAACGUAUCAUUUCGCUGUUGCAUGACCGAAAUGAUACGUUUUUCU
Regulatory RNA element from Alloiococcus otitis ATCC 51267, 112 nucleotides. It matches the Rfam family "23S methyl RNA motif". Lineage: Bacteria; Bacillati; Bacillota; Bacilli; Lactobacillales; Carnobacteriaceae. The record is from Rfam.